Molecule: ribosomal RNA, 1518 nt
Filed under: Shigella sonnei
Lineage: Bacteria; Pseudomonadati; Pseudomonadota; Gammaproteobacteria; Enterobacterales; Enterobacteriaceae
Description: partial 23S ribosomal RNA
Rfam family: Bacterial large subunit ribosomal RNA
Source: RNAcentral
CUGUACUUGGUGUUACUGCGAAGGGGGGACGGAGAAGGCUAUGUUGGCCGGGCGACGGUUGUCCCGGUUUAAGCGUGUAGGCUGGUUUUCCAGGCAAAUCCGGAAAAUCAAGGCUGAGGCGUGAUGACGAGGCACUACGGUGCUGAAGCAACAAAUGCCCUGCUUCCAGGAAAAGCCUCUAAGCAUCAGGUAACAUCAAAUCGUACCCCAAACCGACACAGGUGGUCAGGUAGAGAAUACCAAGGCGCUUGAGAGAACUCGGGUGAAGGAACUAGGCAAAAUGGUGCCGUAACUUCGGGAGAAGGCACGCUGAUAUGUAGGUGAAGUCCCUUGCGGAUGGAGCUGAAAUCAGUCGAAGAUACCAGCUGGCUGCAACUGUUUAUUAAAAACACAGCACUGUGCAAACACGAAAGUGGACGUAUACGGUGUGACGCCUGCCCGGUGCCGGAAGGUUAAUUGAUGGGGUCAGCGCAAGCGAAGCUCUUGAUCGAAGCCCCGGUAAACGGCGGCCGUAACUAUAACGGUCCUAAGGUAGCGAAAUUCCUUGUCGGGUAAGUUCCGACCUGCACGAAUGGCGUAAUGAUGGCCAGGCUGUCUCCACCCGAGACUCAGUGAAAUUGAACUCGCUGUGAAGAUGCAGUGUACCCGCGGCAAGACGGAAAGACCCCGUGAACCUUUACUAUAGCUUGACACUGAACAUUGAGCCUUGAUGUGUAGGAUAGGUGGGAGGCUUUGAAGUGUGGACGCCAGUCUGCAUGGAGCCGGCCUUGAAAUACCACCCUUUAAUGUUUGAUGUUCUAACGUGGACCCGUGAUCCGGGUUGCGGACAGUGUCUGGUGGGUAGUUUGACUGGGGCGGUCUCCUCCUAAAGAGUAACGGAGGAGCACGAAGGUUGGCUAAUCCUGGUCGGACAUCAGGAGGUUAGUGCAAUGGCAUAAGCCAGCUUGACUGCGAGCGUGACGGCGCGAGCAGGUGCGAAAGCAGGUCAUAGUGAUCCGGUGGUUCUGAAUGGAAGGGCCAUCGCUCAACGGAUAAAAGGUACUCCGGGGAUAACAGGCUGAUACCGCCCAAGAGUUCAUAUCGACGGCGGUGUUUGGCACCUCGAUGUCGGCUCAUCACAUCCUGGGGCUGAAGUAGGUCCCAAGGGUAUGGCUGUUCGCCAUUUAAAGUGGUACGCGAGCUGGGUUUAGAACGUCGUGAGACAGUUCGGUCCCUAUCUGCCGUGGGCGCUGGAGAACUGAGGGGGGCUGCUCCUAGUACGAGAGGACCGGAGUGGACGCAUCACUGGUGUUCGGGUUGUCAUGCCAAUGGCACUGCCCGGUAGCUAAAUGCGGAAGAGAUAAGUGCUGAAAGCAUCUAAGCACGAAACUUGCCCCGAGAUGAGUUCUCCCUGACCCUUUAAGGGUCCUGAAGGAACGUUGAAGACGACGACGUUGAUAGGCCGGGUGUGUAAGCGCAGCGAUGCGUUGAGCUAACCGGUACUAAUGAACCGUGAGGCUUAACCUUACAACGCCGAAG